AGUACGUGAAAUUUUUGAAAGGAGAAGCGCUUGCAACCAGACGUGAACCGCGGGCGAUCAACCGCUACUCCUUACCGGUGCAAUCGCCCGUGUUCAGGCCAGCAUCAGUCUGGGCGACUGGAUAAAGUCCCCCGGAAUGUGGGUCCUUUCGGGGAGUGUUAUAGCCGGGGGGGUCAUGCAGCCCGCCUGGACCGAGGGCCGCGCUUUGGGUAGGAUGCAGGCGUAAUGGUUGUAAGCGACCCGUCUUGAAACACGGACCAAGGAGUCUAACUUCUAUGCGAGUGUUUGGGUGUCAAACCCAUGCGCGCAAUGAAAGUGAAUGGAGGUGGGAACUCCCCCGGGGGUGCACCAUCGACCGAUCCUGAUGUCUUUGGAUGGAUUUGAGUACGAGCAUAGCUGUUGGGACCCGAAAGAUGGUGAACUAUGCCUGAAUAGGGUGAAGCCAGAGGAAACUCUGGUGGAGGCUCGCAGCGGUUCUGACGUGCAAAUCGAUCGUCAAAUUUGGGUAUAGGGGCGAAAGACUAAUCGAACCAUCUGUUACUGGAUGGCACACGGGCCUUGAGUGGCCUGAGUAGUCCCUGUGAUGGGGGCGACACCGCCGGUCUUCCGGGGACGUUUCUGGGCUACCCGCAGUGAGCCUCGGGCUCAUUCACACCCUAUGUCACGGUGACCGCGCCCGCAGCGCGGUUAGGUUAUAGCCGAUUCCCCUC
RNAcentral lists this ribosomal RNA (710 nucleotides) under Sarcogyne fallax. Its description in RNAcentral is "partial large subunit ribosomal RNA". It matches the Rfam family "Eukaryotic large subunit ribosomal RNA", at positions 394 to 1443 of the family's 3401-position model. The record is from RNAcentral. Lineage: Eukaryota; Fungi; Ascomycota; Lecanoromycetes; Acarosporales; Acarosporaceae.